CUUCAACGACCCCAGGUACAGGGGCCGUUCGCGGUCCUGGCCGUAGGUGGCGAGCAGGGCCUGCGCCUC
This 69-nucleotide antisense RNA is filed under the name Streptomyces bungoensis. RNAcentral's name for it is "ASpks TB sRNA". It matches the Rfam family "ASpks TB sRNA". The record is from Rfam by way of RNAcentral. Lineage: Bacteria; Bacillati; Actinomycetota; Actinomycetes; Kitasatosporales; Streptomycetaceae.